AGUGAACGCUGGCGGUAGGCCUAACACAUGCAAGUCGAACGGCAGCACAGUAGGAGCUUGCUCUUACGGGUGGCGAGUGGCGGACGGGUGAGGAAUACAUCGGAAUCUACUUUUUCGUGGGGGAUAACGUAGGGAAACUUACGCUAAUACCGCAUACGACCUACGGGUGAAAGCAGGGGAUCUUCGGACCUUGCGCGAUUGAAUGAGCCGAUGUCGGAUUAGCUAGUUGGCGGGGUAAAGGCCCACCAAGGCGACGAUCCGUAGCUGGUCUGAGAGGAUGAUCAGCCACACUGGAACUGAGACACGGUCCAGACUCCUACGGGAGGCAGCAGUGGGGAAUAUUGGACAAUGGGCGCAAGCCUGAUCCAGCCAUACCGCGUGGGUGAAGAAGGCCUUCGGGUUGUAAAGCCCUUUUGUUGGGAAAGAAAGGCAGCAGGUUAAUACCCCGCUGUUCUGACGGUACCCAAAGAAUAAGCACCGGCUAACUUCGUG
This 492-nucleotide ribosomal RNA is filed under the name uncultured bacterium. RNAcentral describes it as "partial 16S ribosomal RNA". It matches the Rfam family "Bacterial small subunit ribosomal RNA", at positions 29 to 507 of the family's 1533-position model. The record is from RNAcentral.